GAUAAAAUUAGUUAUGAAAUAUAAUUCAUAUUAUUAUAGCUAGUUAUCUUAUAAGUUUAAUUAAUAAUAUAUUUAUUAAUAAUUUAAGUUGGGAUAAUCUAAUUUAAUAGGUAUAUUGUUUUGAUAUUUUAUUUAAGUAUAAUUAAAAGUUUUAAUUUAAAUAAUUUUUUAAUUUUGUUAUUGUUAAUUUUUAUUUUAUUAUUUUUUUAUAGGGUUAUUAUAUUUAUUUUUUUUUAUAAAAAAUAAUUAAUAUAUUAGUAAUUGUAUUUAUUUUAUUUUUGUUUUUUUGGUAUAAUGAUAAGGUUUUGUGAUGAAUUAAGCAAAGUAUUUUUUGACUGUUUAGCAAAAACAUUGUUUUUUGAUAAAAUAAAAAAUAAUUUCUGCCCACUGAAAUUUUAAGGGCUGCAGUAUUUUAACUGUAUUAAGGUAGCAAAAUCAUUAGUUUUUUAAUUGGAAACUGGUAUGAAGAGUAAACGAUAAAUGACUAUAUAAGAAAGUUUUUUGAAAUUUUUAAUUAUGUGAAAAUUCAUAUUUAGAAUAAAUAGACGAGAAGACCCUAGAAAUCUUUAUUUAAUUAUUUUUGUUUAAAAUAUUAAUUAAAAAAAUAAUUUUAAUAAAAUUUAAUUGGGGAGGUUAAUUAUUAAACAUAAUUGGAUUUUAAUUUCUU
This 667-nucleotide ribosomal RNA is filed under the name Polydesmidae sp. MPE04912. Its description in RNAcentral is "partial large subunit ribosomal RNA". The record is from RNAcentral. Lineage: Eukaryota; Metazoa; Arthropoda; Diplopoda; Polydesmida; Polydesmidae.